RNAcentral lists this ribosomal RNA (583 nucleotides) under Bacillus sp. (in: firmicutes). RNAcentral describes it as "bacterial SSU rRNA". It matches the Rfam family "Bacterial small subunit ribosomal RNA", at positions 115 to 683 of the family's 1533-position model. The record is from RNAcentral. Lineage: Bacteria; Bacillati; Bacillota; Bacilli; Caryophanales; Bacillaceae.
ACGUGGGUAACCUGCCUGUAAGACUGGGAUAACUCCGGGAAACCGGGGCUAAUACCGGAUGGUUGUUUGAACCGCAUGGUUCAAACAUAAAAGGUGGCUUCGGCUACCACUUACAGAUGGACCCGCGGCGCAUUAGCUAGUUGGUGAGGUAACGGCUCACCAAGGCGACGAUGCGUAGCCGACCUGAGAGGGUGAUCGGCCACACUGGGACUGAGACACGGCCCAGACUCCUACGGGAGGCAGCAGUAGGGAAUCUUCCGCAAUGGACGAAAGUCUGACGGAGCAACGCCGCGUGAGUGAUGAAGGUUUUCGGAUCGUAAAGCUCUGUUGUUAGGGAAGAACAAGUACCGUUCGAAUAGGGCGGUACCUUGACGGUACCUAACCAGAAAGCCACGGCUAACUACGUGCCAGCAGCCGCGGUAAUACGUAGGUGGCAAGCGUUGUCCGGAAUUAUUGGGCGUAAAGGGCUCGCAGGCGGUUUCUUAAGUCUGAUGUGAAAGCCCCCGGCUCAACCGGGGAGGGUCAUUGGAAACUGGGGAACUUGAGUGCAGAAGAGGAGAGUGGAAUUCCACGUGUAGCGGUG